Alligator sinensis (Chinese alligator) is the source of this 2428-nucleotide long non-coding RNA. RefSeq lists it as uncharacterized. The transcript is spliced from 7 exons. The record is from RefSeq and is a predicted model, not a curated record. Lineage: Eukaryota; Metazoa; Chordata; Crocodylia; Alligatoridae.
CGAACCCUUCUGUUAGACCCUCACGCCAUGCGGCGCCCAACGACUAGGGAGGUGACGAUGCAAUUGCUCGUGAAUCCUGUGACUCGUUAGCCAAAGCAAGCAGGGCGCAAACAUCGUCACACAUUGCGCGCAGCAGCUUUAUUCAGCAUGGAGACAGCUUCGGACUAGCUCCCCAAAACCCCAAAAAAUGGGGAGCCACAGGCACAAUAUUGUUUUUCCAUAUUUAUACACUGUGCUUUAUACUGUGCAUUAACACUCGUUCGCCCCUCGCCUCUCCUAUGUUCCACCCAUUUCUCCUCCCAUCUCGAGCUCCUCCUCUCUUUCCUGGUUGCUGCAUUCCCAUGGAAUCGCCUCUGCAUUUCCUUCCUUUCCAUGCCUUUCUGCUGAAAGCGCACGCCUAAGCCCUUGACUUGCCUACUUCGGUCGCUGGGCGGAUUUCAGCAAAACUGGAAGCUUCACCAUUUGCCUUUUCGCAUGUGUUCAUCGCGUCUUCUGUCACCAAUGACGUGUUGUUUUCCACAUUCCCGUCUGUUUUUCUGUGCCAGGUUGUACCAUCUUCCACAGUCCUCAAACGUCACCUCGCUCACAGCACACACACUCGCACAGAUUCACUUGCCCUAACACCUUCUUUGUAGCACUGAUAUAUUUACACCAAUAAACCCACCAUGGUGUGCGGGUGUUUGAGCUGUCCCUUAAAAAUAAGCAGCUGUCUGCUUGUCACUGAUAUUACAGAUCCUAUGCCACUCUGUUACCCUUGGCCAAAAUAGCACACCCCUCCCUUUUCUCCCCCAAGCUGUUGGUAUCACGUGUGCUACGUGUCUGUGUAUCUGCAGUGGCUGGCCGAAGGACAGUGGCAUGUCCUGUCUAUAAUUUGGGAAGUAUUUUGCAGUCUUUCAGAACGAAUGAGGAUGCAUGGAUAUAAAAGCAGGGCACAAUCAUUACAAGCGUGUGCCACAUGCAGCAAAACUAGCAAUGGCACAAAUUUGCUUUAUGCUGCAGUGCACGCCCUCGCGCAUGGGGCUGGUGCAGGGCAUUUUGUCUUGGGUGGGGGUGGGAGGCUGGGGUCAGCACCCGUUCUGGCCCCAGCAACUUCACGUGGGGCCUCCCUGGGCAGCAGUGGCAGCAAGCCCACGGCUCGGAGCCUGCCCGGUAGCCAAAACAUAGCUCUGCCCAGCCAGGCUCUGGUUCUGGAAGCACGCACUGUUGCCACGGGCACUGUGCCAAUUUUUUCUUUUGUAUUUUGACACCAGGAUCUCUGAGUGUCAAAUUUUGGCACCACACUGUAAAUCCGCAGCAUGGCAAAUGGGUGCAUGUGCACCACGGGUGGUGUGUGGGGCCUGAAAUGGGUUGGAGGUGCCACAAAUUGCAUGUGCACGCUCAUCGGGACAAGCUUUAGGUGUACAAAGAAAUGGCACAAUGCACGUUGAACUAUUUUUGUCUUUGUGUCUCUCUGAUUUAUUCCUGUUUGAUUUUAAAAGGUAGAGAUGUGCUUAGCACCCAAUCACCUUGGCUCCUUGCACCCUAGAAGUAGUCACUGAGAAUUAACCACCUUUCGAACUCAUUCACAGGCCAGAUCAGGAGGAAGGGUGUGGAUGUAUCCCUCUGCCAUCCUUCCUCAAGUGCUGCCGCACUCGGCAGCCGAGGCCCCAAGCGAGCAGGCAGGAAGGGCACGAGGAGCCCGCUCCAGGAGCAGCCUCAGGCCCUGGGCAGGCGGCACGCGGGCAGUAGCAGCAGCAGGAGGCAGGCCUGGAGCAGGGAGCCAGCUCCAGGAGCACCAGCAGCCGCCAAGAGCAGGCCAUGUAAAACUGUAUUGAAAACCUGCUGCAGGAUUUCAUAAAUAUCAACAGCUUUUUCUGUGGAUACAGGGCCUUGGCUUCUCCAGGCGAGGUCCUAGAAGUGCUCCUCCGCAGGCAUGGAAACGAGGAGACCUGGAAUGGCUCAGGAGAUAGCAGGCAGGAUUUCCCAGAGUCCAGAACAGUCCUCGAGAACUCUUUGGAGACGCCCGUAUCAUUCGGAGCCUGAUGCCGAACAGCAAAGGCUCCGUAUACAAAAGCAUCCUGUUAACCUGCCCGGACAGGACCACCGGCGUCAUAGAAUAAAUACUGGCCAAAUACAACGUGGACCUGAUAGAAGUUGACAACUUUGAACUCGUGCAGGUCAUCUCCGAGCACAAAGGCCGUGCACAAAGUUGUCGAAAACCUGAAGCAGGAUUUCGUAAAUAUUCACAGUUUCUUCUGUGAAUACAGGGCCUUGGCUUCUCCAGGCGAGGUCCUGGAAGUGCUCCUCCCCAGGCAUGGAAACAAGGACACCUGGGCUGGUUCAGGAGAUGCCAGAACAGUCCUCGGGAAGUAAGUGUGGCUUUCUGCUGUACAGCAAAACCUGUCAGGAUUCAGAGCGUGUGGGCAGCUUAAGCAUCUCUAUAUAUGAU